Musa acuminata AAA Group (dessert banana) is the source of this 2397-nucleotide long non-coding RNA. RefSeq lists it as uncharacterized. NCBI's taxonomy places the organism in Eukaryota, Viridiplantae, Streptophyta, Magnoliopsida, Zingiberales, Musaceae. The record is from RefSeq and is a predicted model, not a curated record. The transcript is spliced from 6 exons.
CGUAUUUGUUUGUUAAGGAAUGGCGAAUCACGAGAUGUUGUGUUCACCAUUUUAAAUUUAUAUUUUAUUAUGUUUUUAUUAAGGUCUUCUUUUCCUCUAAAAAUGCAAGAAAAAUUCUGUCUUAGUUCGUUCUUUAAUGACAAGCGCAAGUAUUUUGUGCCUCGUUUGCUGGCUGCAAUGAUGCCUACAGUCGACGGAGUUCGAUACCUCGUGCUAGGGUUUGUCCAUUCUCGCCUCGUCGCAGAAUCAUGCGAUGAAACCCACUCUGCUUACGGCAGCCAUUCCCGUUGCCUCCGUCUCCUCUCAGCUCGAUGAUGUCUUCUGUUUCGGGAGAAUUGGAAGGAAUCAUGCAUGUAUGGGUUUUCGAGCUGGGAUCAUGAAAAUCCCUUUUUGCCCCCUUUCCAAGCUGUCGGUGACUACCGAUCGCUCCCUUGUGAACCGCUCUAAAGAGAGGGUGGCUUGGAGAUGCAGUUGCGCUCUUCCGGCAUCUACGAGCACCAAAUUCCGAGCGAAAAAUCUCGAGGAGGGAUAGUUCGAGGUAUCAUACUGGACUACAUGUUAUUCAGAAUGACUGCUUAUUCAUUGAGCUUUUUGGGGAUGAGGAUUCAGAGGAAAUCUUAUUUUGUGGUUUAAGGAUUGGAAAAGUAUUGUUGCCUGAAACUCCUUUUACACAAUGAUGAACAAUUUUAAGAAUGUUCCGGAAUACCUGUAUAUUUGGCCUUGCUACUUCAUAAGCGGACAUAUCCAUCACAGAAGAUAAACCUGCAAGGAAGCAAGUAGAAAAAGCUAUAAAGAAAGCAUUUCAUCAGCAGGAAAUUACCCUGACAGUCAAGGAUGUAUAGUUUAACGGGCAUGAAAGGGCCAUCAAGGUUCAGUAUGAGUGCCAGUAUUAUCGUGGAGGCCUUUGAGGAUAUGGAAGCUUCCAGAAUGGGAAGAUGGAGAUGGUGGAUCAGAAACCAAGCCGUCUGACAUAAUAGCUGUAAGUAAACUGGUUCAGAUAUCUCAGAUAUGCUGAUCUUAAGGAACACUUUUUCAAACUGUACUUUUUAAACAUAGAUGCUACUUUUCAUGAACCAUUGUGCUUUUCAUGUUGCACUCUUUCUAUUUGGUUAAUUAAAUAAAUCUUAUAUCUCUACAUACAUUCGAUAAGACAUACAAUGCUAGUAUGUAUUUUUAUGAGUAAACAUUGUGCUGUGUUUUUGUCUCACUGAAGCACUUGUCAUAAUGACAAUAGCAUAUAGUAGAUGAAUUCUUGGAUUUCUAUUUACUAUUGUUUAUCAACUCAUCAUAAUCACAGACCCACAUUGGUAAGAGCCUCAUGCACUGAGCUGGCCAACAUGAUUUGAUUGGGUCAAGCGAAGCUGACCUGAGGUCAAUUGCAUUUAUUUAUAUUUCUACCUUUUUUAGGAUUCUCAUGUAAUUUUUGUCCUUUUUGCAUUGCUUCAAUAUGAGCUAUGUAUAAGAGGGUUAGAGUCAGUUUGCGAUUCAGUGUUCUACCCAAUCUGAUUUCAACUCUGGAUGCCCUUGUUCUUUAAUUGAAUGGCUCCAGAGGACUCCAAGCUUAUUGACUGAUUUGAUUCUAUUUAUGAGAGUCAAAAGUAAAUCAAAGAAGCAUCUACCUGUCACACCUUUGAAAAGGUGACUAUUGUCGGAACCUUAUUUAUUUUUGUCUGUGGAGCCUAUAUUGUCUUUUUGUUUGUCUUACAAUAUACAUCAGAGAAUAUCACUCAUUUUCUAGUUGGCUUAUUAUUACUGUGUGACAAAUUAGGAGUUGUUAAUGAUAAGUAGCUUUUGUAUCUAUAGGCCUAGUGGCUUUAUAUGUCCUGAUAUUUGACUUUAUUCUUGUUGGUAUCAACAUCUUUACGCUAUGGCUUCGGGGCUAAUACGGUUGGGUUUGGGUACGAAUGAUUGGAGAUCUUCUUGAACGACCCUUGAGACUGCUGAGGUAGUCGACCGCGGUGGUCCGAUCGCGACAGGGUCACUGUUUUCUCCGGGAGGGGACCCCUCGCUUGGGCAUUCGGUGGGAGGCACUUCGUCUUCGUCCUUGCACACAGGUCGGGUCGGGAGAGCUCGGCCCGACCCCUCCGACGAUCAAGGAGUAGGGUCGUACCUUGGAUAACGUCUGACACCGACAUUGGAGUUGCGUGAAGGACAGGGCUCCUACAGGAUGGCGACGUGCCUCGGUCGGCGUUUUGGUUUGCUUCGACCAGGCGCUGUCAGGUCAGACCGAGGCAAGCGACCCCCGUAACUCUUCGGUCCGCGUGACCUAGGAGACGUCACCCGGGAGCAUGUGACGUUAGUUCGUGCCCCAUCAUUAUUAUUACCCUUAUCAAUUUUUUUUUUUCCUUCUAGUUAUUGUCAAUCAUGUCUUAUAUUUGAACUUGUUAUACUCCUAUC